GACGAACGCGUGGCGGCGUGGAUUAGGCAUGCAAGUCGAACGGUAUCAUCCUUUCGGGGGUGAGAGAGUGGCGAACUGGUGAGUAACACGUAGGUUAUCUACCCUCAAGACGGGGACAACCCAGGGAAACUUGGGCUAAUACCGGAUGUGAGCAACUUUUAGUUGUUUGAAAGGUGGCGUAAGCUGUCGCUUGGGGAUGAGCCUGCGUCCUAUUAGUUAGUUGGUGAGGUAACGGCUCACCUAGGCAAUGAUAGGUAGGCGGCCUUAACGGGUGGUCGCCCACACUGGGAUUGAGAUACGGCCCAGACUCCUACGGGAGGCAGCAGUCGAGAAUAGUCUACAAUGGUCGGAAGACUGAUAGUGCGACGCCGCGUGAACGAUGAAUCCCUUCGGGGUGUAAAGUUCUUUUAUAUGUGAGCAGUGCUUCUUAUAUUAACAGUAUGGGGAGAGAGAUAUUAGCAUAUGAAUAAGCAACGGCUAACUCCGUG
RNAcentral lists this ribosomal RNA (488 nucleotides) under uncultured bacterium. RNAcentral's name for it is "bacterial SSU rRNA". It matches the Rfam family "Bacterial small subunit ribosomal RNA", at positions 28 to 507 of the family's 1533-position model. The record is from RNAcentral.